This 253-nucleotide ribosomal RNA is filed under the name uncultured bacterium. Its description in RNAcentral is "partial 16S ribosomal RNA". It matches the Rfam family "Bacterial small subunit ribosomal RNA", at positions 524 to 776 of the family's 1533-position model. The record is from RNAcentral.
UACGAAGGGGGCUAGCGUUGUUCGGAAUUACUGGGCGUAAAGCGCACGUAGGCGGAUUGCUAAGUCAGGGGUGAAAUCCUGGAGCUCAACUCCAGAACUGCCUUUGAUACUGGCGAUCUUGAGUCCGGGAGAGGUGAGUGGAACUGCGAGUGUAGAGGUGAAAUUCGUAGAUAUUCGCAAGAACACCAGUGGCGAAGGCGGCUCACUGGCCCGGUACUGACGCUGAGGUGCGAAAGCGUGGGGAGCAAACAGG